GGCAGCCUGUGCAAUUUCACUUGCCUCCAGGCUCCAACUCCCCCCAUUUUAGCUGUCAAAUUCAUUUCAUUUCUCUUCCCAUCACCACAGUCCUCUCGCGUUCCUUCAACCUCCACUUACUUGCACAAUCGCCACCCUCUUCAAAACCAACCUGCUCUCUCUCUCUCUCUCUCUGGGAGCUCAGAUCCAAAGUCUGAGCAAAGCAAAUUCGCUCAGCACCAAUGGAUCUGGGCAUGAACACGUACCAAGUUUUGAAGACGCGAGCCCAACACCUGUAAUCGACGGUGGUGGAGGAGUCAGAGUCAUCAGGACGCAGAGCAAGUGAUUAUGGGGUGAAAGGUUUGAUCGAUUUUGAGUCCUUGAUCUUACUCUGAAAAAGAAGAAGAAUCACCCUGACACUGCAAAAGUUUUGAGGUGCUAAAUAAGAUAAGUGCUACUUCACCAAAUCUCCCUGCUGUUUCUUCACUGCUGCUUCUAAGGUUGCUUUGGAGUGUUAACUUUUCUUGGUGUUUUGAUUGUAUGGGUAUUACUGAAGCAUUGCGAUUGCAGGUAGAACUCCAAAAGCGGCUUCAUGAACAACUUGAGCGUGACCGAUUUUUUCUGGAUAGAUUGGAGUGCAAGGUCAAACAAAAUAGUUACUUCAUCUCAUGACUGGAACUUGAGAAGACUUCCUUGUACCUACCUCCCUUGAAGAGGAAACAAGUUCGCAUUGAAUGAAUCUCUGAUCCAUACGAGAGGGAAAAGAGGCAGACUUGGCAUUGAAAGCCAUUUUUUUGUUUUUGUUUUUGGCAUUGGAGGAAUCUGGAUGUUGAAACACAUUGUAAAGAGAUGGCAUCGUGACCAAAUCCAGAGCUCUUUUCAUCACUGGAGUAGAAAUGAUAAGUGGUAGUUUUUUUCAGAAAUUUGAUGGGAAUGUUAAAACAGGCCAAGGUGUCCAAAUUCAGAAUCAAGUUGUCAAUAUGAUUGAAGCCUAGUCCCCAUUUGUCUAAUAUUCAGUAUAUAUAGACGCGCUUUAAUCUGGUCAUAUCAAGUACUUACACUAACUUUGAAGUUAGGAUAAGCAAAAUAAUGAAAACAGCCAAUUUCCUCUUUAUACAAUGUUUAUCCGUAACAUGUACUAGAAUUGAAGUUCUUUACCUCCAAAUGCAAUUACAUAUUAUCUGC
This is a long non-coding RNA of Rosa chinensis, 1164 nucleotides long. RefSeq lists it as uncharacterized. The record is from RefSeq and is a predicted model, not a curated record. The transcript has 7 exons. NCBI's taxonomy places the organism in Eukaryota, Viridiplantae, Streptophyta, Magnoliopsida, Rosales, Rosaceae.